AACGAACGCUGGCGGCAUGCCUAACACAUGCAAGUCGAACGAGACCUUCGGGUCUAGUGGCGCACGGGUGCGUAACGCGUGGGAACCUGCCCUUAGGUUCGGAAUAACUCCCCGAAAGGGGUGCUAAUACCGGAUAAUGUCUUCGGACCAAAGAUUUAUCGCCUUUGGAUGGGCCCGCGUUGGAUUAGCUAGUUGGUAGGGUAAAAGCCUACCAAGGCGACGAUCCAUAGCUGGUCUGAGAGGAUGAUCAGCCACACUGGGACUGAGACACGGCCCAGACUCCUACGGGAGGCAGGAGUGGGGAAUAUUGGACAAUGGGUGAAAGCCUGAUCCAGCCAUGCCGCGUGAGUGAUGAAGGCCGUAGGGUUGUAAAGCUCUUUUACCCGGGAUGAUAAUGACAGUACCGGGAGAAUAAGCUCCGGCUAACUCCGUG
Molecule: ribosomal RNA, 433 nt
Filed under: uncultured bacterium
Lineage: Bacteria
Description: partial 16S ribosomal RNA
Rfam family: Bacterial small subunit ribosomal RNA
Source: RNAcentral